AGGACGAACGCUGGCGGCGUGCCUAACACAUGCAAGUCGAGCGGAAAGGCCUUUCGGGGUACUCGAGCGGGCGAACGGGUGAGUAACACGUGAGUAAUCUGCCCAUCGCUUCAGGAUAGCCAUCGGAAACGGUGAUUAAUACUGGAUAUGACAUUCCUUCGCAUGUUGGGGUGUGGAAAGUUUUUUCGGCGGUUGGAUGUGCUCGCGGCCUAUCAGCUUGUUGGUGGGUAAUCGGCCUACCAAGGCUUUGACGGGUACGCCGGCCUGAGGAGGGUCGACCGGCCACACUGGGACUGAGACACGGCCCAGACUACCGUACGGGAGGCAGCGAGG
RNAcentral lists this ribosomal RNA (333 nucleotides) under uncultured soil bacterium. Its description in RNAcentral is "bacterial SSU rRNA". It matches the Rfam family "Bacterial small subunit ribosomal RNA", at positions 26 to 359 of the family's 1533-position model. The record is from RNAcentral.